Ameiurus melas (black bullhead) is the source of this 72-nucleotide non-coding RNA. The record is from the annotation of a GenBank genome assembly. NCBI's taxonomy places the organism in Eukaryota, Metazoa, Chordata, Actinopteri, Siluriformes, Ictaluridae.
AUUGGGUAGCUCAGUGGUUAAGACGUUGGACUUCUGAUCAGAAGCUCGUUAGUUCAAAUAUCACCACCAACA